AGAGAUGUGUGAUGACGCAUAUCAAUAAGCGGAGGAAAAGAAACUAACAAGGAUUCCCUUAGUAACGGCGAGUGAAGCGGGAAGAGCUCAAAUUUGAAAUCUUCAAGGUUCUACCUUGACGAAUUGUAGUUUAAAGAAGUGUUUUCUGUUAGUGGAGUGGCAAAAGUUCUUUGGAAUAGGACAUCAUAGAGGGUGAGAAUCCCGUAUUUGGUCAUUCCUUCUAGCUUUGUGAUACACUUUCAACGAGUCGGAUUGUUUGGGAAUGCAGUCCAAAAUGGGUGGUAAAUUUCAUCUAAAGCUAAAUACUGGCGAGAGACCGAUAGCGAACAAGUACCGUGAGGGAAAGAUGAAAAGAACUUUGAAAAGAGAGUUAAACAGGUACGUGAAAUUGUCAAAAGGGAAGCGUUUGACACCAGUGUUGUUUUUCCGAAAAUCAAUUACGAAUGUUUUAUUUUUGAGGAGUUAUGACUUCAUCGGCUUGCUUCUCUCUUUAUGAACUUUCUUAAUGCACUUUUCGGUUAACAAGUCAACAUCAAUUUCUUUUGUUGUAAAAGAGUAUGAGGAAGGUGGCUUGCUCUUCGGCGCAAGUGUUUAUAGCCUUGUACCUCUGCAAUCGGAGAGAUUGAGGUCUGCAGCGUAGAUCCUUCGGGGUUAGAUACAUUUGUGCUAAGCUAUAGCCUUGUAUAGACAACUUGUUGACUAUGCUCAGUCAUGUAGCUUACUCGCUUAUGCUAUUUUACCUACGCUUAGGAUGUUGAAGAUGUAGCACAUCAU
This 774-nucleotide ribosomal RNA is filed under the name uncultured Neocallimastigales. RNAcentral's name for it is "partial large subunit ribosomal RNA". It matches the Rfam family "Eukaryotic large subunit ribosomal RNA", at positions 23 to 635 of the family's 3401-position model. Lineage: Eukaryota; Fungi; Neocallimastigomycota; Neocallimastigomycetes; Neocallimastigales. The record is from RNAcentral.